GGGACACCCCUGUGGAGCAGUACUUGCUUUAGUGGGGCUUUGGUGCUCACUGAGACUGCCCCUUGAGUGCGUCGCU
RNAcentral lists this microRNA precursor (76 nucleotides) under Myotis myotis. RNAcentral describes it as "mir-9229 microRNA precursor family". It matches the Rfam family "mir-9229 microRNA precursor family". Lineage: Eukaryota; Metazoa; Chordata; Mammalia; Chiroptera; Vespertilionidae. The record is from Rfam by way of RNAcentral. RNAcentral also lists the same sequence under 1 other name.